AGAAAAGUAAGCUAUAUUUAAGCUACUGGGUUCAUACCCCAUUUAUAGAGUUUACCUCUCUUUUCUA
This 67-nucleotide transfer RNA is filed under the name Theopompa maculosa. Its description in RNAcentral is "tRNA-Met". Lineage: Eukaryota; Metazoa; Arthropoda; Insecta; Mantodea; Gonypetidae. The record is from RNAcentral.